Molecule: ribosomal RNA, 509 nt
Filed under: uncultured bacterium
Lineage: Bacteria
Description: bacterial SSU rRNA
Rfam family: Bacterial small subunit ribosomal RNA
Source: RNAcentral
AGAGUUUGAUCCUGGCUCAGGAUGAACGCUGGCGGCGUGCUUAAUACAUGCAAGUCGAGCGGCAGCACGGUCUUCGGACUGGUGGCGAGCGGCGGACGGCUGAGUAACGCGUAGGAACGUACCCCAAAGUGAGGGAUAAGCACCAGAAAUGGUGUCUAAUACCGCAUGUGCUCUACGGAGUAAAGCUUCGGCGCUUUGGGAACGGCCUGCGUUUGAUUAGCUUGUUGGUGAGGUAAUGGCUCACCAAGGCAGCGAUCAAUAGCUGGUCUGAGAGGAUGACCAGCCAGACUGGGACUGAGACACGGCCCAGACUCCUACGGGAGGCAGCAGUAGGGAAUCUUCCACAAUGGACGAAAGUCUGAUGGAGCAACGCCGCGUGAGUGAAGAAGGUUUUCGGAUCGUAAAACUCUGUUGUGAGGGAAGAACAAGUAUGAGAGUAACUGCUCGUACCUUGACGGUACCUCAUUAGAAAGCCACGGCUAACUACGUGCCAGCCGCCGCGGUAAUUC